Vespa mandarinia (Asian giant hornet) is the source of this 750-nucleotide long non-coding RNA. The record is from RefSeq and is a predicted model, not a curated record. Lineage: Eukaryota; Metazoa; Arthropoda; Insecta; Hymenoptera; Vespidae.
CAGCUCUAAAAUUCGUUGCAUUUUCGUAAUCCUCUGACACAUUUAAUUGUUAUUAUUGAUAUUAAUGCGACGACAAAAUUUGGAAAUAUUUUAUUGGACGUUUAAACAUCGCUUAGAACAUUUAAUUAAUUUACGAGGAUAUCCGUCAAAACGAAUAAAAAAAGGUAACCAAUCGAGUUCUCUCCGGUCCGGCUUGCAGACGAGUUUUCUAUCCUCCAUGAGGUAAAAUUCAUCCCCGGUGUCCAAUUGUCGCGAGCAGAGUGCGCAGGAGAAACACGUCAGAUGAUACACCAACUCCUGCGCUCUCCUUACCACUUGCGAUGGUGCCAACCCUUGGCCGCAGCCCGCGCAUUUCGUCCCAAAACGCCUGCCACACCAACAACAUACAACAUUUUCACAUUACAUUCACACGUAAAUGACAAGACUCUACACGGCUCUUUUUUCUUUAUUUUCGUUUCUAUUUUGAUUUAACGAGAUAACGACGAGGAGGAGAGCGAUAAAAUUUGUAACGAUCAUUGGUGCUUACUUGAAGAAAUCGUCCUUGCAAAAGACAUGGCCGUUUCUCGCGAAGCAUUUGUCCGUUAGUCUUGCUCCACAAUCUCGACAGGUCAGACAUCUCGCGUGCCAACACCUUUCUAGGACCUUCAACACAUACCUAUCCAAGAUUGCUUCCUGGCAACCACCACAUUUCGGUAUUGAGGCUGCAACGAAAAAGAAUAAUUAGAAUUAACGAUCAUUCUUUAUUUAAAA